Molecule: ribosomal RNA, 253 nt
Filed under: uncultured bacterium
Lineage: Bacteria
Description: partial 16S ribosomal RNA
Rfam family: Bacterial small subunit ribosomal RNA
Source: RNAcentral
UACAGAGGGUGCAAGCGUUAAUCGGAAUUACUGGGCGUAAAGCGUGCGCAGGCGGUUUUGUAAGACAGGCGUGAAAUCCCCGAGCUCAACUUGGGAAUUGCGCUUGUGACUGCAAGACUAGAGUGUGUCAGAGGGGGGUAGAAUUCCACGUGUAGCAGUGAAAUGCGUAGAGAUGUGGAGGAAUACCGAUGGCGAAGGCAGCCCCCUGGGACAUGACUGACGCUCAUGCACGAAAGCGUGGGGAGCAAACAGG